This 1546-nucleotide ribosomal RNA is filed under the name Triticum aestivum (bread wheat). RNAcentral describes it as "partial small subunit ribosomal RNA". The record is from RNAcentral. Lineage: Eukaryota; Viridiplantae; Streptophyta; Magnoliopsida; Poales; Poaceae.
GAAUUAUUGUCCCCUCUCUUCUCCUUGGCUAGCACUAGAGGCUAGUGUCAGUGAUCUACCAGCACGGCAGCACGUACUGAUCGAUCUAUCUGCUAUCUAUCUAUCUGCCCUUGCAGAUGUAUAUAUGCUUCCUUCCAAGGGCCAGCCACCCACAUAAAUAUGAGUGAGAUCAUCCCCCUUGCUAUAUCGUCUCGCACACGCCAGCUUAAAUUCCCAUAUGCAUCUUGACAAACCUUUCUAGAUAGAUAGACAGAUAGAAUUGAGCCGUGACCUCACUCUUAAUUUGGCCCCUCUCUCUUUCUCCACACGACUGAUCACUGCGAUAUCACCACUGACGAGAUGGCACCAAGGUCCUCGUCAACUCGCUACUAGAUCGUCCGAGGCAGGCACGGCCGGCCGUCAAUUGAUCUCCCAUGGAGGCGAGCAAGGGAAGCGAUGGGAGCUCGGGCGCCUCGGCGAGCAACGAUGACAGCACGGUGGAGGAGGAAGGAGCGGGCCGUGAAUCGCACGAGGACGUCUGCAGGGGGAACUCUUUGUCGUCCUCGUCGGUGCGCCCCUACGUUCGCUCCAAGAACCCGCGCCUCCGCUGGACGCCGGAGCUCCACCACUGCUUCGUCCGUGCCAUUCAUAGGCUCGGCGGCCAAGAUCGUGCAACUCCGAAGCUCGUUCUUCAGUUGAUGAACGUCAGAGGGCUUAGCAUAGGCCAUGUCAAGAGCCACCUCCAGAUGUAUAGGAGUAAGAAGAUUGAUGACUCAGGCCAGGUCAUAGGUCAUCUCCCCUUGCCCCAUGCCUUCCAUCAUCGCCAGAGUGGUGCGGGCACCAUGUCGUCAAGGUUUGGUGCUGCUGCAUGGCCUCCAUGGAGAAGCUUCCAUGAACCAUACUGGGCCCAUGGUCGCCCCUUCCUUGGAUCGAGGACCUACAACUCUUUAGAAGCUGAAACCGAGGCGGCUUUCCUUCGGUCCCGAGCUCAACAUGUAGCUCGAGCUGCAUCUAGCAAUCCAGGAUUGAUGAUGCAAUCAGGCUGUGCAUCUCUGAACGAUCAUCAUACCAUGAACCACCAGCAUAAACGACUGCUGCAACCGACAGUGCGUAAUGACGACGAUACCCAUGUUCCUCUUGAUCUUGAUCUCGAUCUCGAUCUCUCGCUCGGUCUCCCCGUGCCGAGGAAGGAGGCGAAGUGGAAGAGAUCGGGCUGCAGCUGGGUGAAAGAAGGCCCUGAUGAGAAUGGAGCCGAUGAAGAACAAGUGGAUGAGAUCAGCACUGCCACUAUGCUAUCUCUGUCCUUGUUCUCUCCUGGGGAUGCUCCUCGGAUGAUGAGUAGUACUAGUGCUAGUGAUCGUGCAGUAAAUGUCAGUGUGGAUAUUAAGAGAGGAGGGAAAGAUGAGCAUGCUACAAGGAGGGCAAGUACUCUUGAUCUCACCAUAUGAUCAGUAUGUAAUGUGGUGAUAUCUCGUGGUACUUGUCCAUACAUCCAUAUAUGUUAUAUUAUGUAGAGCGAACAUAUAUAUACCUAUGUUUUACCAUACAUACUAUGUUAUCUUCUAAU